RNAcentral lists this ribosomal RNA (583 nucleotides) under uncultured Enhydrobacter sp. RNAcentral describes it as "bacterial SSU rRNA". It matches the Rfam family "Bacterial small subunit ribosomal RNA", at positions 102 to 686 of the family's 1533-position model. Lineage: Bacteria; Pseudomonadati; Pseudomonadota; Alphaproteobacteria; Hyphomicrobiales. The record is from RNAcentral.
ACGGGUGAGUAACAUUUAGGAACCUACCUAGUAGUGGGGGAUAGCUCGGGGAAACUCGAAUUAAUACCGCAUACGACCUACGGGUGAAAGGGGGCGCAAGCUCUUGCUAUUAGAUGAGCCUAAAUCAGAUUAGCUAGUUGGUGGGGUAAAGGCCCACCAAGGCGACGAUCUGUAACUGGUCUGAGAGGAUGAUCAGUCACACCGGAACUGAGACACGGUCCGGACUCCUACGGGAGGCAGCAGUGGGGAAUAUUGGACAAUGGGGGCAACCCUGAUCCAGCCAUGCCGCGUGUGUGAAGAAGGCCUUUUGGUUGUAAAGCACUUUAAGCAGGGAGGAGAGGCUAAUGGUUAAUACCCAUUAGAUUAGACGUUACCUGCAGAAUAAGCACCGGCUAACUCUGUGCCAGCAGCCGCGGUAAUACAGAGGGUGCGAGCGUUAAUCGGAAUUACUGGGCGUAAAGCGAGUGUAGGUGGCUCAUUAAGUCACAUGUGAAAUCCCCGGGCUUAACCUGGGAACUGCAUGUGAUACUGGUGGUGCUAGAAUAUGUGAGAGGGAAGUAGAAUUCCAGGUGUAGCGGUGAAA